RNAcentral lists this ribosomal RNA (730 nucleotides) under uncultured marine bacterium. Its description in RNAcentral is "bacterial SSU rRNA". It matches the Rfam family "Bacterial small subunit ribosomal RNA", at positions 52 to 790 of the family's 1533-position model. The record is from RNAcentral.
UGCAUGCAAGUCGAGCGAAGCUUUUCAGUAGUUUACUACAGAAAAUGACUGAGCGGCGAACGGGUGAGUAACGCGUGAGCAACCUACCUUAGUUACUGGGAUAGCCCGAGGAAACUCGGAUUAAUACCGGAUAUUCUUAUUUAAUCACAUGAUUUUUUAAGGAAAGGUCAGCCGAACUAAGAUGGGCUCGCGUUCUAUCAGCUAGUUGGUAGGGUAAUGGCCUACCAAGGCUACGACGGAUAGCUGGUCUGAGAGGACGAUCAGCCACACUGGGACUGAGACACGGCCCAGACUCCUACGGGAGGCUGCAGCAGGGAAUAUUGCGCAAUGAGCGAAAGCUUGACGCAGCGACACCGCGUGUGGGAUGACGGAUCUAGGUUUGUAAACCACUUUCAGGAGGGAAGAAAAUGACGGUACCUCCACAAGAAGCCCCGGCCAACUACGUGCCAGCAGCCGCGGUAAUACGUAGGGGGCGAGCGUUGUCCGGAUUUAUUGGGCGUAAAGAGCUCGUAGGCGGUUCAACAAGUCGGUCGUGAAAGUUCAGGGCUCAACCCUGAAAUGUCGAUCGAUACUGUUGUGACUAGGAUACGGUAGAGGUGAGUGGAAUUCCGAGUGUAGCGGUGAAAUGCGUAGAUAUUCGGAGGAACACCAAUUGCGAAGGCAGCUCACUGGCCCGCUAUCGACGCUGAGGAGCGAAAGCUAGGGGAGCAAACAGGAUUAGAUACCCUGG